AACGAACGCUGGCGGCAUGCCUAACACAUGCAAGUCGAACGAGAACUUCGGGUCUUGUGGCGCUCGGGUGCGUACCGCGUGGGAACCUGCCCUUAGGUUAGGAAUCCCUCCCCGUAGGGGGUGUUCAUACCGGAUAAUGUAUUCGGACAAAAGAUUUCUGGCCUUUGGAUGGGCCCGCGUUGGAUUAGUUAGUUGGUAGUGUAAAAGCCUACCAAGGCGACGUUCCAUAGCUGGUCGGUGAGGAUGACCAGCCACACUUGGACUGAGACACGGCCCAGACCCCUAGGCGAGACAGGGGUAGAGAAUAUAGGGCAAUGGGCGAAAGCCUGAGACAGCAAUGCCGCGUGAGAGAUGAAGGCCUUAGGGUUGUAAAGCUCUUUUACCCGGGGUGUUAAUGACGGUACCGGGAGAAGAAGCUCCGGCUAACUCCGUG
Molecule: ribosomal RNA, 433 nt
Filed under: uncultured bacterium
Lineage: Bacteria
Description: partial 16S ribosomal RNA
Rfam family: Bacterial small subunit ribosomal RNA
Source: RNAcentral